AACGAACGCUGGCGGCAUGCCUAACACAUGCAAGUCGAACGAUGCCUUCGGGCAUAGUGGCGCACGGGUGCGUAACGCGUGGGAAUCUGCCCUUGGCUUCGGAAUAACAGUUAGAAAUGACUGCUAAUACCGGAUGAUGUCCCCCUGAGAGAGCUUGGGGACCAAAGAUUUAUCGGCCAGGGAUGAGCCCGCGUAGGAUUAGGUAGUUGGUGGGGUAAAGGCCUACCAAGCCGACGAUCCUUAGCUGGUCUGAGAGGAUGAUCAGCCACACUGGGACUGAGACACGGCCCAGACUCCUACGGGAGGCAGCAGUGGGGAAUAUUGGACAAUGGGGGGAAACCUGAUCCAGCAAUGCCGCGUGAGUGAUGAAGGCCUUAGGGUUGUAAAGCUCUUUUACCAGGGAUGAUAAUGACAGUACCUGGAGAAUAAGCUCCGGCUAACUCCGUG
This 447-nucleotide ribosomal RNA is filed under the name uncultured bacterium. RNAcentral's name for it is "partial 16S ribosomal RNA". It matches the Rfam family "Bacterial small subunit ribosomal RNA", at positions 29 to 507 of the family's 1533-position model. The record is from RNAcentral.